AUUGAACGCUGGCGGCAGGCCUAACACAUGCCAGUCGAACGGUAACAGGAAACAGCUUGCUGUUUCGCUGACGAGUGGCGGACGGGUGAGUAAUGUCUGGGAAACUGCCUGAUGGAGGGGGAUAACUACUGGAAACGGUAGCUAAUACCGCAUAACGUCGCAAGACCAAAGAGGGGGACCUUCGGGCCUCUUGCCAUCGGAUGUGCCCAGAUGGGAUUAGCUAGUAGGUGGGGUAACGGCUCACCUAGGCGACGAUCCCUAGCUGGUCUGAGAGGAUGACCAGCCACACUGGAACUGAGACACGGUCCAGACUCCUACGGGAGGCGGCAGUGGGGAAUAUUGCACAAUGGGCGCAAGCCUGAUGCAGCCAUGCCGCGUGUAUGAAGAAGGCCUUCGGGUUGUAAAGUACUUUCAGCGGGGAGGAAGGGAGUAAAGUUAAUACCUUUACUCAUUGACGUUACCCGCAGAAGAAGCACCGGCUAACUCCGUG
This 490-nucleotide ribosomal RNA is filed under the name uncultured bacterium. RNAcentral's name for it is "partial 16S ribosomal RNA". It matches the Rfam family "Bacterial small subunit ribosomal RNA", at positions 30 to 507 of the family's 1533-position model. The record is from RNAcentral.